Molecule: small nuclear RNA, 105 nt
Organism: Manis pentadactyla (Chinese pangolin)
Lineage: Eukaryota; Metazoa; Chordata; Mammalia; Pholidota; Manidae
Source: RefSeq, a predicted model, not a curated record
GUGCUCGCUUCACAGCACACAUACUAAAAUUGGAACGACACAGAGAAGAUUAGCAUGGCCCCUGUGCAAGCACACAGGCAAAUUCCUGAAGUGUUCCAUAUUUUG